UGCAAACCUCUGUAGACCCUCUGCUACAUGAAGGCUGUUGUAGGCUCUGCCAGUUAACAAGAUGUGAACAUGGUGGGCCCGGGAGAGAAUGAGACAGACUUUCUCAGGAGGAAGCAAAGCAAACCGGAAGACAGGACAUCCCAGCCUUCAUAUUGAGUACAUCUGUAGAGGUUGUGUUGUGUACACCUGUCCUCUACCCACUGCUACAGUGUGAAGCCAAGCUCAAAGAGGAUGCAUAGUAUGGUCAUGGGUCACACGUGUCCCCUAACCUGGACAAGGAGUGGCUUUAUCCCCAGCCCUGCUUCCUGCCCAGGCUUGGAGGGAGGCCUAUGGAUUUUUCUGAAUCUUCCCUUGAAAAGGUACCUUAGGAUUCAUGCUCAGGUUGCUGUGGAGGGCAUGGGACGAGGAUAUUGGAAGAGCUUAGUCCCUACCUACUGGCUCGGAUUCAUACCUUUAGAUCAAUUCCAGGUGUGCCUGGUUCCAUGGCUCAGAGUUUAACUGUUCGGCUGAAAAAAAAAAAUCCUUUUCUCUUGCAAUGUUAAACUUGGUCCUAUCGGCCAACCACACCAUCUGUAGCAUAUUAUGAACUAAUUAAAAAUAAACCUGUAAUUACCUUGUUAAUAGAGCAA
Long non-coding RNA from Mastomys coucha (southern multimammate mouse), 629 nucleotides. RefSeq lists it as uncharacterized. The record is from RefSeq and is a predicted model, not a curated record. The transcript has 3 exons. Lineage: Eukaryota; Metazoa; Chordata; Mammalia; Rodentia; Muridae.